RNAcentral lists this ribosomal RNA (441 nucleotides) under uncultured Sphingomonas sp. Its description in RNAcentral is "bacterial SSU rRNA". It matches the Rfam family "Bacterial small subunit ribosomal RNA", at positions 337 to 795 of the family's 1533-position model. Lineage: Bacteria; Pseudomonadati; Pseudomonadota; Alphaproteobacteria; Sphingomonadales; Sphingomonadaceae. The record is from RNAcentral.
UCCUACGGGCGGCUGCAGUGGGGAAUAUUGGACAAUGGGCGCAAGCCUGAUCCAGCAAUGCCGCGUGAGUGAUGAAGGCCUUAGGGUUGUAAAGCUCUUUUACCCGGGAAGAUAAUGACUGUACCGGGAGAAUAAGCCCCGGCUAACUCCGUGCCAGCAGCCGCGGUAAUACGGAGGGGGCUAGCGUUGUUCGGAAUUACUGGGCGUAAAGCGCACGUAGGCGGUUUUGUAAGUUAGAGGUGAAAGCCCGGAGCUCAACGCCGGAACUGCCUUUAAGACUGCAUCGCUAGAAUCGUGGAGAGGUGAGUGGAAUUCCGAGUGUAGAGGUGAAAUUCGUAGAUAUUCGGAAGAACACCAGUGGCGAAGGCGACUCACUGGACACGUAUUGACGCUGAGGUGCGAAAGCGUGGGGAGCAAACAGGAUUAGAUACCCCGGUAGUC